UCUCAGGCAAUUUUAAAUAAAUUUGAACAACUUCACUGUUGCCCAUUCCACAGGAAGACCCACAGGCCACAGCAGUGUCAUGAGCCCGAAUCAACUUCCAUUUCUAUGAAGCAGUCCAGAAAAGAAGAUAAUAGAUUAAUGUCAAAUGAUUCUUUGCUACAAAUACAAAAACCUGUAAUAAAAAACAGACAAUUCAACUCGAAUUCUAAACGGCAGUCAUCAAUGAAUCACUUAUUGAAUUGAAAGAUUUCAAAAAGGAUCUGCAACAAAAAAAGACCUUUUUGAAGGACUCUAUGGU
Molecule: unclassified non-coding RNA, 298 nt
Filed under: Hevea brasiliensis (rubber tree)
Lineage: Eukaryota; Viridiplantae; Streptophyta; Magnoliopsida; Malpighiales; Euphorbiaceae
Source: RNAcentral